This 490-nucleotide ribosomal RNA is filed under the name uncultured bacterium. RNAcentral describes it as "partial 16S ribosomal RNA". It matches the Rfam family "Bacterial small subunit ribosomal RNA", at positions 30 to 507 of the family's 1533-position model. The record is from RNAcentral.
AUUGAACGCUGGCGGCAGGCCUAACACAUGCAAGUCGAACGGUAACAGGAAACAGCUUGCUGUUUCGCUGACGAGUGGCGGACGGGUGUGUAAUGUCUGGGAAACUGCCUGAUGGAGGGGGAUAACUACUGGAAACGGUAGCUAUAACCGCUUAACGUCUCAAGACCAAAGAGGGGGACCUAAGGGCCCCUUGCCAUCGGACGUGCCCAGAUGGGAUUUGCUAGUAGGUGGGGUAACGGCUCACCUAGGCGACGAUCCCUAUCUGGUCUGAGAGGAUGACGAGCCACACUGGAACUGAGACACGGUCCAGACUCCUACGGGAGGCAGCAGUGGGGAAUAUUGGACAAUGGGCGCAAGCCUGAUGCAGCCAUGCCGCGUGUAUGAAGAAGGCCUUCGGGUUGUAAAGUACUUUCAGCGGGGAGGAAGGGAGUAAAGUUAAUACCUUUGCUCAUUGACGUUACCCGCAGAAGAAGCACCGGCUAACUCCGUG